Molecule: long non-coding RNA, 99 nt
Filed under: Oryctolagus cuniculus (rabbit)
Lineage: Eukaryota; Metazoa; Chordata; Mammalia; Lagomorpha; Leporidae
Description: lncRNA (ENSOCUG00000037533.1)
Source: RNAcentral
GGAGUUGAGUGAUUGGCCACGUUCCCUUCAAGUCGCUGUUUCACGUGUCACUACAGGCAGAUCUUGCGUGGCGCUCGGCUGUGCACCAAAUAAUGUGAA